GCUCUGAGAAUAUGGGAUAUAUACAUCCUGGAGGGUGAGCACGUGCUCCCAGCCAUGGCAUACACGGCCCUCAAGAUCCAUAACAAGCGCCUGCUGAAGAUGCCCCGGGACCACCUCCGGGAGUUCCUGCAGGUGACCCUGAAGCAGGCCUGGUCUCUGAGCGAGGACGCGGUCAUCAGGCAGCUGCGGGCCUCCAUGUGUGAGCUGGGGAAGCUCCAGUGCCUCCUGCCUCCUGAAGCCAAGGCCAUCGAACAGUACAGCAGGCCCCUGGGGCAGGCACGCGUCUCCCAGAUGCACGUUCCUGCCCCCACUGCUCCGAAGGCCAAAAUCACCAUUCAGGACACAGUGGCAGUGUGGGAGCAGACCAGGGGUCCCGCUACCCGUGCAGUGAUGAUCCGUCCUCCAGAAAGCUUUGGCCUCCGCAUCGCCGAGAGGGAAGGCCUGGAGGAGGAGGAGAGCUGGGAAGGCAGCCCAGAGCCCCUCAGCCUGGGCUCCCCUGUGGGGACCGCAGAGUCUCCAGGUGCGGCCAGCCCCACGGAGACCUCGUGGGGGAGGGGAGGCCUGUGCCAGUGCGCCAGUCUCCCUAACCUGAGCGGGCCAGAGCACAGGGAGGACGACUCCUCCGACGCUGGCAGCCGGGAGGGCCUGUGGAUGUGGGCACCUCCACAGGCCUCAGAGCCCCCGGAACCAGGGCCCAUGCAGGCUGUCCCCGCCUGGGGGCCACUGCUGAAGACUCCCCCCUACUGGCAUGGCAGCCCCACGCACUCUGGGGACAGUCAUGGGCUGGAGCCGGCCAGAGCCAGCCCUGGGCUGGGACACCAGGCCCGCGUGCCCUCCCUGGCCAGAGGCCUCCUUACCUCUUAUUCCUUGGGGCACCUGGAUGAUGGGUGCCUCCUAGAAGAGAGGCUGAGUCCAGCAUCUGUCCUGCCCAGGCUGGGCAGCAGCCUUCCGUGUGUCUUCACGGCAUCCUAUACACUUGGUUGAGCGCCCACCCCCCAGGCUCUUCCUGGGGCCAGGACACCCUGACACUGGAAGACAACAGCCGUGCCAGGAGCCACUGUACUCUCCUCCCCGCCCCCUCCCCCACCGCCACCCUCAGGUGGUGCUGAGCCUGUAUUAAAUUGUUCCAUGGAAAGGAGUUUGCUCCAGUUUGUGACCCCGGCGCCCAGCGGCAGCAAGCUUCCCCAUGUUCCUGGAGAGCGUGGGAGGCUCCAAAGCCCCAGCCCCAGGCAGAGACCCACUCAGGACCCUGCAGACAAUGCCUGAGAUUCAGCUGUGCCCUGUGGGGCUGGGUCAGGGUGGGAGAGCAGCAGCCGUGAGUGCCCGUGACCUCUGGGACAGAUCGGCACAAUAGGAACAGCCGUGGUUGGAGGGCCUGUGUCACCUCUGUGCUCUCCCCUAGACCUGGGCGGCCGUGGCUGCAGCAUCCCUGGCUUGACCCCACACGGCUCUCCCACAUGGGAGAGGAUGUGCACUGUGGGCUGGGAGGCGACCAGUGGCCAGCAGUGCAUCUACUGCCCAACUGACCAGGUGUUCGUAGCGUAGGCUGGAGGCACAUUUAAUAGAAUCAAAUGGAUUCUCGGUGGAGGUGAGAGGGACUUGCUCUCGGCUGUGCCUGUGUGUGAGCACCACGGGAGCAGAGCCCUUGGCCCUGGGACUCAGAGAGGUUCUCCAGGAAGGGCUGCCGCAGCGUGCUGGAGGGGCCUGGUCUGUGUGCUGAGCUCAUGUGCUGUGGGCGGGAAGGGCCCUAGCACGCAGGUCACCUUGCUCUCCCACAAGCACCACUGUCAGAGGUGAUCUCUGUGGCCGUGUAGCCACAGCUCUCAGCCGGGCACGCGGGCCAUGGCUCACCUGAAAUGCAGGGGCGGCUCCAGAGCCCUGUAAGGACUGGCGGUGAAUUCGCAGACUCAGCAUUUCCCAGCUCCUGCCCGGCUCCUGUCUCCCAGGACACAGAUGAGGCCCCGCGAUGGCUCUAGAGGUUGAC
Long non-coding RNA from Oryctolagus cuniculus (rabbit), 1984 nucleotides. Lineage: Eukaryota; Metazoa; Chordata; Mammalia; Lagomorpha; Leporidae. The record is from Ensembl.